Osmerus eperlanus (European smelt) is the source of this 1063-nucleotide long non-coding RNA. RefSeq lists it as uncharacterized. The transcript has 4 exons. The record is from RefSeq and is a predicted model, not a curated record. NCBI's taxonomy places the organism in Eukaryota, Metazoa, Chordata, Actinopteri, Osmeriformes, Osmeridae.
GCGGGGCCACGUUCGGCUGACCGACCUUGGUGGCCCCUGCCAACGCCACGGAAGGUCUGGGUAGCCAGAACGGCAUCUCCAGGCGUAGGAGGGGAGUGUCCCGAUGAGAGGCGGCAGGCCAAGCUGCCUGAGCUGAUUGUCUAUUCAGAAGGAAUCUGGUAGCUGCCAAGCAAGACAUACACAUCCAGAGGACAUCUGAAAGGUGUUCAAAACCAAAGGCCUCCCAAGAUCACCACCAUCUUUAAACAAUACCCAGCAAGCAUUGGAGGGAUCCUGAUUUCCCAGCAGAACACAACAGAGGGGUUGGUUGGCUGCAGCACUGCAGUUGCCACAGACCAAUGCACACAAGAAAUGAAGCCUGCACAUUGGGAGCUCAUCCGUAGAGCACAGAGAAAGGAAUACUGUUCAAUGGGGCUGUCGUUACUGGUGGCGAGACACUUUGGCUACUUCCCAAAUCUGAUUCCUAAUUAAUAGCCAACUAAUACCGUAAUAUGUGCUGUGAAUUGACAACAACGCCUUGAAGAUUUUUUUUAUAAGAGUACCCUUUUCCAACAUGAAAACCUUGAAGAUAUAAACAGCACAUAUCAAGAUCAAUGCGAUCAGAGAUAAAAAGCCCAAGACGGCUGUUAUGCAGUAAAACAAACCAGAAACCACGGAAACUCCAAUUAACGAGGGAGCUGGGAAACGUGGGGAAUGAGUUUGAUAAUGCCUUUACCAGAUAUGUUCCUUCAGAAGACAUAUAUUCAAGUUAGAGAAUAACGACAAAUACAACAGAAACAGAAGAGCAUCCCUACUCCAGCCACCUCAGAGGAACACAUUUGAUGCACAGGGUGGCAACACAUGGUGAAUCUAUUUCAAAAUCUUGUCAAGAGACUCUCUACACAAACAUCGAAGAGGCCCCAAAUUGUUUUUCCCGUAAUCUCCCCUGAUUCCCCCCAUUGUUUCCAAUACUGCUGUCUCUCCGUGAUUUACGACUCUGUUGGAAUGAUGUACAACAGUUGUACUCCUUCCUUAAUGGGAAAAUGUUUAAUAAAAUAGAAUGUCUUGGGAGUGCUCUCGGGAC